GUCCUGGCCUUAAACGAUGGAUGCUUGGUGUCUGGAGUUUUAUAGUCUCCGGGUGCCGUAGCUAACGCGUUAAGCAUCCCGCCUGGGGAGUACGGUCGCAAGACUGAAACUCAAAGGAAUUGACGGGGACCCGCACAAGCGGUGGAGCAUGUGGUUCAAUUCGACGCAACGCGAAGAACCUUACCUGGGCUAGAAUGCCUCUGACAACUCCAGAGAUGGAGCUUUCUAGGGAAACCUAGACGGAGUGCAAGGUGCUGCAUGGCUGUCGU
This 269-nucleotide ribosomal RNA is filed under the name uncultured bacterium. Its description in RNAcentral is "partial 16S ribosomal RNA". It matches the Rfam family "Bacterial small subunit ribosomal RNA", at positions 793 to 1055 of the family's 1533-position model. The record is from RNAcentral.